This 119-nucleotide ribosomal RNA is filed under the name Pteropus alecto (black flying fox). The record is from RNAcentral. Lineage: Eukaryota; Metazoa; Chordata; Mammalia; Chiroptera; Pteropodidae.
GUCUACAGCCACGCCACCCUGAACAAGUCGGAUCAUGUCUGAUCUCGGAAGCUAAGCAGAGUCGGGCCUGGUUAGUACUUGGAUGGGAGACUACCUAGGAAGACCAGGUGCUGUAGGCA